RNAcentral lists this ribosomal RNA (465 nucleotides) under uncultured bacterium. RNAcentral's name for it is "partial 16S ribosomal RNA". It matches the Rfam family "Bacterial small subunit ribosomal RNA", at positions 28 to 507 of the family's 1533-position model. The record is from RNAcentral.
GACGAACGCUGGCGGCGUGCUUAACACAUGCAAGUCGAACGGAAAGGCCCUGCUUGCAGGGUACUCGAGUGGCGAACGGGUGAGUAACACGUGGGUGAUCUGCCCUGCACUUCGGGAUAAGCCUGGGAAACUGGGUCUAAUACCGGAUAGGAGCCAUCUUUAGUGUGAUGGUUGGAAAGUUUUUUCGGUGUAGGAUGAGCUCGCGGCCUAUCAGCUUGUUGGUGGGGUAAUGGCCUACCAAGGCGGCGACGGGUAGCCGGCCUGAGAGGGUGGACGGCCACAUUGGGACUGAGAGUCGGCCCAGACCCCUACGGGAGGCAGCAGUGGGGAAGAUUGCACAAGGGGCGCCAGCCUGAUGCAGCGACGCCGCGUGGGGGAAGACGGCCUUCGGGUUGUAAACGCCGUUCGCUAGGGACGAAGCUUUCUGUGACGGUACCUAGAUAAGAAGCACCGGCUAACUACGUG